AAGGCUUUAAGUUAAAUAAACUAAUAGCCUUCAAAGCUAUAAAUAGAGUAAGUAUGCUUUAAGCCUUA
This 68-nucleotide transfer RNA is filed under the name Zwicknia bifrons. RNAcentral's name for it is "tRNA-Trp". It matches the Rfam family "tRNA". From Rfam's summary of the family: Transfer RNA (tRNA) molecules are approximately 80 nucleotides in length. Their secondary structure includes four short double-helical elements and three loops (D, anti-codon, and T loops). RNAcentral also lists the same sequence under 1 other name. Lineage: Eukaryota; Metazoa; Arthropoda; Insecta; Plecoptera; Capniidae. The record is from RNAcentral.